GCGGAGGUUGCCGAGCCAGGUCAAAGGUGACAGAUUUAGGGUCUGUUCCCGCAGGGGUUCGCCGGUUCGAAUCCGGCCCUCCGCA
This is a non-coding RNA of Thermoplasmatales archaeon I-plasma, 85 nucleotides long. NCBI's taxonomy places the organism in Archaea, Methanobacteriati, Thermoplasmatota, Thermoplasmata, Thermoplasmatales. The record is from Rfam.